This 2297-nucleotide long non-coding RNA is filed under the name Hordeum vulgare. RNAcentral describes it as "long non-coding RNA (HVUL_LNC008339)". Lineage: Eukaryota; Viridiplantae; Streptophyta; Magnoliopsida; Poales; Poaceae. The record is from RNAcentral.
CAAAGGCUAAAUUAUUUAUAUCCCCAAAGAAACCCUCAGUUUUUUCAUAUCCCCCAAAGUCUCGAACCCUAGCGGUGCUCUUGGAGGCAGCCGCAGCGACGCCAAUCGACGAUGGCAGCGUUUAGAUCUCUAGCGUGGAAGAUCGGCGGUCGCGCACUACAGCGAUCGCCGGCCAUCUGUCGUGUUGUGGACGUGGUUCCACAUGGCGGAUUACUUGGACGACCGGCGGUCGUCAAAUCUCGCAUAUUUAGCUCCGGCGCCUCCGGCACAAGCGAACCAUUAUGCAAGGUAUAUAUGACAUCACUACUCUGGAAAAGAUCCCCCCACAAUUUUGUCAUGAUUUCGAUUGAACUACUCUGGAAAAGAUGUAGGUAGGUAGCCUUUUUUUUUUUUGAAACGAGCAGGUAGGUAGGUAGCCUUGUGGUAAUCUGGUUCAGGAGCUUAGAUUUGUGCUUUCUGUUGAAUGAGAUGUGAAACUAAAAGUUCAAUAUGGAAGAUAUUCGCGUGUUGUUGACGUAGGUGGUGGCGUUUUUUAGGCAUGUCCUCUUCUACCAUGCCUCGUGGAUCUUCCUGCUUCUUCCCUUGGUUGCAGAAAUAGGAAUAUGGUUUCCUUUAAUAACGUAUACCCCAGUGCUAGUCGAAAACUCCCCUUCCCCUUCACCAAGGCCCCGUCCCCUUGUGUACCUUCAGACCUGUGUGGGUAGUCGUAGCAGCACGAGAGCCUUUUAUGGUGGAUUCUGUUGAAGCGAUUGAUAAGUUCCACAUUCCUAGAUGAUGGAUCCGAGUACCCAGGUUGCUCAAGGCGAUAAACCCGGUCGCUGUCUUCCCAAUGAUGACCACAAUGCUCAUCUUUCAUGAUUUUGUGUGCAAGGAGUAGCCUCUCUGUAAUCUCGAAAUCCAUCCCUGUCUAUCUACCUUGCCCUUGGUGCACGUUCGUUAAUAGUAUUUGGUGGACAGUGGGUAUGAGUAUGAUCAUAGACAACCUUAAACUGCCAAGGCUGAAUAACAUGCUGAAAUAACAUUCUCUGAUUAGAUGGUACCUCCUUUACUUCAGACGUUGUACUUGUAGCUCACUGGAGAACAAGUGGGGGAUGAUGGUUAGGUGUGCCUCGUCCGGGGUUGCACUUGGUAUUGGGAAAUCAGUGAACAAAAUUUUGUUGGGAGAGCUUACGGUGGAGAUAAGUUUUCUUUUAUUGCUUGAUACCAUUGUGAUGCCUAUGGUAACUAUUCUCUCUGUUGGCUUCUAAAAUGGAGUUAGACCGGCCCGGGUCAUCUACCCGGCCUUGAUAAUCCUAGUAGCUGUUGCUUGAUGUCUAAUUUCUGCUGAGGCGGCAAUCAAUCCAUUCCACAAUAGAUAUUUCCUUUUCUGUGUCUGAAGGCAAGUGUACUUUUUAGAGUGUUAGGAGGCCAAAAUUGUCCGUUUCAUUUUUUAUUAUUAGUGUUUAUUAACAAGAGAAUUGCUCCUUCCAAAUACUUACCUUGCUAAUUUUUUAAUCCUUUUGUGUGUUCAGAAUUGUUUACAAUCAUUCGGAGGGCCUGCUGCGGAUGCUAGGUCCCAUCUCAAUAAUCUAGGACCCGAGGGUCUUAGAGAGGAAGUGGAGAGGAAGAAAAAAGAUCUGUUAUAUGCACUACUAAAGAUGGAUUCCUGCACCAAUUUGAAUGCACUUCCAGGUGAAAACAAGGAGGAGCUGGGCGUCCUACUCCCGCUGCUCCAACCCAAGGCACAAGAACCGGCCAGGUGCACACUGCGCUGUACAUCAAACGUACUAACAAUCUCAUUUGUUUUUUCAUCAUUAUAAUUGCACCCCCUCCCUCUAUGUGUGUAGGUCCGAAGAAGUAUUAGUUGAUGGAGGGAUGAAGUUCUGGUUCUUUGUGAUUUGCGCAAUACCUAUUGUGACCGUUCUUUGCAUUUACAGAGACAGCAAACGACCUUUUCCAGUAGAUAAAGAUUAAACAGGAGGUUAAGGGCCGGUUCUUUUGGAUGGCUUAAAAAAUAAGCCGUCUCUUCCGAACCUAAAAAUGAGCCACCACCUAAAUUUGUUGUGACUGCUUAAUUAGUUACCCCCACAUUUGUAUAUGGCAUAUAAUUCGUAAUUCAUUAUGUAUAAGAUGGUGUAAUAUUGUCCUUAGCAUUGUAUAGUUUAAGUACGGUCUAUGUUCCUAAAUGUAACAAGUAAAUGAAAUGCAAAAGAUCUUACAUUUAGGAAUAGACACAGUAAUAGUUAGCACUUGUUAUCAAUAUACAAUAGCGGUUCUACAAAUGAACUACAUAAGUAUUUUGCAUUUUCAAAAGACAC